RNAcentral lists this long non-coding RNA (6995 nucleotides) under Populus trichocarpa (black cottonwood). RNAcentral's name for it is "long non-coding RNA (PTRI_LNC004311)". Lineage: Eukaryota; Viridiplantae; Streptophyta; Magnoliopsida; Malpighiales; Salicaceae. The record is from RNAcentral.
UGAUCGCAGGGAAGUCAGAUUCAUUAAAAAAGUCGGCAGUGGAAAGAGAUACAGUGAUGCUUUCACCACCGCUGUAUCAUCUGCUUCCUCAUCCUCAUCGUGGUUCAAUUACAACGUCUACACCUAAGCAAUGGUGUGACUUUUUACUUGCGGAGCUGCAAAACCAUAGCCUCGGUUUAUUGCUUCUUGGUAAGAACAAAUAUUUCCUUUAGUUAUUUUUAUUCUAUUCUAUUUAAUUUAUGAGAUUAAAUAUUAUCUUUAAUUAUUUCAUUAUUACUAUUUAAUAUAAAAAAUUAAAUAUCAUUUUUAAUAAUAAAAAAUUAAAUAUUUAAGGCUUUUUGGUAAGAAUACAUAUUUCCUUUAGUUAUUUCUAUUUUAUUCUAUUUGAUGGGAAUUUGUUCGUAAUAACAAAAUGCACAUGUUUAACUUUCUUUUCAAACUUGGAAGUUUUAUUGAAUUUGAUGGCUUUUGAAGGUAGAGAAGACUUGGAGUGAAGAGUACAAGAUCAUUUUAUAUAGAGAUGCUUGAAGUUACUUCAAAUUAGUACGGUACUUCUAUCUGAUGUAUUGAUAUGUAUUUGUUUGUUUGAAGAUUAUUUUCCAAGCUUGGAAGUUUUAUUGAAUACUCUUUGAAAUCUUUUCCAUCCGCUUUUAUAUUUUUAUAUUGGACAACCUAGUUGUUAAUUAUUAUCCAUGAUGUAAUUUAUAUUUUCAAGUUAUAAAUUUUGAUGAAUAUUGUUUCAUUUUUUUCCUCAUUUCAAAAGUUGAAAAUCCUUAUUUUAGUUAGAAAUAAAUUGGUUUUCUAGGAAGAGAUUAUUGAUUGGAAACAAGAGCAAAAGAAAAAAGCAAACACCCCAUUCGAUUUUCAUUCAGUAUAAGAGUGAGAAAGAGAGACGCCAAGGUGGUUCUCGAAUAUUUUGUUCUUUUUUGUCUCGCUCACUGGGGUAAAUACUUCAUCAUUUAAUGUUAUAAUUUAAAAUAAUUGAUGAAAAAGAAUUUUAUUCAAUCCCAAUCCCAAUCCCACAUUGUCUGUAGAAGUAUUUACUUUUGACUGUACACUUUGUUAUUUUCCAAUCCCUCCCCAGUUCUGCAACCAUUUCUCUACUUUCUAUGCUCUUGGCUUGCUAAAAACUAAAGAAAACACAUUGCUCUAGUUGCCUGCCUUCACUCUUCAGAUUGCUCAACAAAUCCCUUGAGACCUUCUCCAUAGUUAACACAUCACAUAAUGGCUACUCUAAAAAAUUUAGCCAUAAACAUUGAACACCUUAAGCAAUCAACGUGCCUUCCUUCACAAUAUGCAUCACCCAUAAAUCUUUCUUUUGGGAUGUCGCCGGGAGUUUAAAUUUCCGAGUGUAAAAAUUACUCAAUGAAAAAGCGAGCACUAACGCACCUUCUCCACAAACUACCAUAAAUAUAUAAAUAUAUUAUGAAAACAAGAUAAAAAGAAAUCUUUCGGUACAUCUAUAUAUAUAUAUUAUGGCUAUGAAAAUAGGUUUGUGGAAAUUUACAUCAUUUGAUCUUGACAGUGUCAGAUUAGACAAUUGCAUGGAAAUGGUCUUCUUAGUUUGCCGUGUGGAAAAUCAUGUCAUUUACGGGGCUGCUGGAGAGAGUGUCUAUUGAUAAUUUUAUCUUAUUUGCAUUGACCGGUAAUUUCACUCGAAAAUUUCUAGUAAUUUAAAAGCAAAUUUCUACUGACUAUUAUUGACUGGCUUCUUGCAAAGUAUUUGUAAGAAAGCUAAAGAAUUAAAGUUUUUUAAUUUUUAAAAUUGUAAGAAAAAAAUCAAUUAUUUUUAAAAUUGUUUUCAAAAAUAAAACACCAACUAUUUAUAUAAUAGCUAAAUCUAUUAAGAUAAAUCCAAAAUAACUAGUAAAAUCAGUGACUUGCAUUGACGGUGUAAUGAUCUGGAACCACUCGCAAUAAAUAAAGCCAAAAAAGGCAGACGAGUGUGUCUAUAUAUACAUAUAGGAACCGCUGAUUCGAUUUGAAUAUGUUAUUUGAUUAGUCUAAUUCAUGACUUGCAUUGACUCAAGAUUACCACUCAAGAUUUCGUGGUGCUUUCUCGGCCUGCAAAUGAAUAGAAAGCAUGUCGUUUUAACCUCAUUUCAAUAUCCUUGCUUUACUCUCCAGCUAGCCUGAUACAUAUGAGUCUCAAGACAUACGGCCAUUGAUAGAAAGGAGUGCUGAAGCAAAAUAUUUUUUUAUCUGUAGCGACCUCAAUAAUGUUAAAGCGUGGACCACCAUGAAAUUACCGCUCCAAAUUCCUUGUUCUUUCUAUAUUAUUAGAAAAAUUAUCAUUGACUAAUUUAAUUGGAAAUUAUUUGCGAGAAAGCUAAAAAGAAUUAAAGUUUUUUAAUUUAUAAAAUUAUAAUUUUAAAUUGUAAAAAAAUUCAAUUAUUUUAAAAAAUAAAACAUCAACUAUUUAUAUAAUAGCUAAAUAAAUCUAUUAAAAUAAAUUGAGAAUAACUAGUAAAAUCAAGCAAAUAAUCCAAAAAUAACAAGAAAAUAAAUAUAUUUCCUAGAUCUAAUUUGAUUAUAUUUAUUAUCUUGAUUGACUUACUUGUUAAGUCUUCGCUAAGCAUAAAUGAACUUUAAUCUAAGAAUCUGUUUUAUAUUUCUUCAUUUAUUAAUGAAAUAUUACUUCUACUGUAUAGUUUUUGGUUCCGAGUUGAUCCACCAGAUUAAUAGGUGAACAAUAUAUUUUGUCUCCACAGGUUAUAACAUCAUUUCAAUAUCUUUAAACAAAAUCUUUGUUAAACUGCACCAUUGGUAAUUGAUUAUGCCUUAAUUUCUGCAGCUGCCAGGACAGAGCCAGAGUCUUCUCGAUCUAGACCAGAAGGGGCCUAUGAUGUCUUCUUGAGUUUUAGAGGAGAAGACACUCGCAAGACAUUUACAGAUCAUCUCUACACUGCCUUAGUCCAAGCAGGAAUCCACACUUUUCGAGAUGAUGAUGAACUUCCGAGAGGAGAAGAAAUCUCCGAUCAUCUCCUCAGGGCAAUUCAAGAAUCAAAGAUAUCCAUAGUUGUCUUCUCAAAGGAUAUGCUUCUUCUAGAUGGUGUCUCAAUGAACUUGUAGAGAUUCUUAAGUGCGAAAAUAGGAAAACCGGUCAGAUUGUUCUUCCUAUAUUCUAUGACAUUGAUCCUUCAUAUGUCAGAAAACAGAAUGGCAGUUUUGCAGAAGCAUUUGUUAACCAUGAAGAGCGUUUUGAAGAGAAGUUGGUGAAGGAGUGGAGAAAAGCUCUUGAGGAGGCUGGAAAUCUAUCUGGAUGGAAUCUCAAUGAUAUGGCAAAUGGGUAUGCCUUUUCUCUCUAAAAUUCACUUGCAGACGUUUAUGGAGUAAUUCUACAUUACAUUUUUCAAUGUGAAGUAAUAAAAUAUUUCUUUUUAGCAUACUUAAUUGACUUGCUAUCGAUGACUUGCUUUUUUUCUGUGAGCAGGCAUGAAGCAAAAUUUAUCAAAGGGAUUAUCAAUGAUGUGUUGAAUAAAUUACGUCGCGAGUGCUUAUAUGUUCCUGAGCAUCUGGUAGGUAUGGAUCUUGCUCACGAUAUUUAUGACUUUCUAAGUACUGCAACAGAUGAUGUACGCAUUGUGGGCAUACAUGGGAUGCCAGGAAUAGGAAAGACGACUCUAGCAAAAGUUGUAUUUAAUCAACUCUGCUAUAGAUUCGAGGGAAGCUGCUUUCUUUCGAAUAUCAAUGAAAGUUCAAAACAAGUUAAUGGUCUUGUUCCUUUACAAAAGCAACUUCUUCAUGAUAUUUCAAAACAAGAUGUUGCUAACAUCAAUUGUGUCGAUAGAGGAAAGGUUAUGAUCAAAGAUCGACUUUGUCGCAAAAGAGUUCUUGUUGUUGCUGAUGAUGUGGCUCAUCUGGAACAGCAGAAUGCAUUGAUGGGAGAGCGAAGUUGGUUUGGUCCCGGAAGUAGAGUAAUCAUUACAACAAGAGAUUCAAAUCUUCUUCGUGAAGCAGAUCGAACAUAUCAGAUCGAAGAAUUGAAACCACAUGAGUCCCUUCAGCUUUUCAGCAGGCAUGCCUUUAAGGACUCCAAGCCAGCACAAGAUUAUAUUGAGCUUUCGAAGAAAGCCGCUGGUUACUGUGGAGGACUUCCUUCAGCUCUUGAGGUUACAGGAGCUCUUCUGUACAGGAAAAACAGAGGUAGAUGGGAAAGUGAAAUGGACAACUUGAGCAGAAUUCCAAACCAAGAUAUUCAAGGAAAGCUUCUAAUAAGUUAUCACGCACUUGAUGGUGAACUACAAAGGGCAUUCCUUGAUAUUGCAUGCUUCUUUAUUGGUAUAGAGAAAGAAUACGUCGCAAAAGUGCUAGGAGCCCGUUGCCGUCCCAAUCCAGAAGUUGUUUUGGAAACUCUCAGUGAAAGGUCUCUGAUUAAAAUAUUGGGAGAGACGGUAACCAUGCAUGAUCUAUUACGAGAGAUGGGAAGGGAGGUCGUUUGUAAAGCGUCCCCAAAAGAACCUGGAAAGAGGACCAGAAUUUGGAAUCAAAAGGAUGCAUGGAAUGUACUUCAACAGCAGAAGGUACGAGCUCAAUGCAUACAUGAAAGCGUAGUCAUGUGUAUUUUCUCAAUGCAAACAUGAAAGCAUAGUCAUGCGUAUUUUCUUGUCAAACUUAUUACAAAUAAUUGAAUGAAAGUUGUAUUGAUUUUUUUUUUAGGGUACGGAUGUUGUAGAGGGUCUUGCACUGGAUGUCAGAGCAUCAGAAGCUAAAUCACUUAGCGCAGGAUCAUUAGAAAAAAUGAAAUGCUUAAAUUUACUCCAAAUCAACGGAGCACAUCUCACCGGAUCCUUCAAACUGCUUUCUAAAGAGUUGAUGUGGAUUUGUUGGCAUGAAUGUCCUUUGAAAUAUUUUCCAUCUGAUUUUACCUUGGACAAUCUAGCUGUUCUUGAUAUGCAGUACAGUAACCUCAAAGAACUAUGGAAGGGAAAAAAGGUGCGAAACAUGCUGGAAUCCCCAAAAUUUCUCCAGCAUGUAAUUUAUAUUUACAUGUUAUGACUUUCUAUGAUUAAUUGUCAUUAUUUUACUCUCUCUUAUGACAGAUUCUCGACAAGCUAAAAAUCCUUAAUCUCAGUUAUUCUCAUCACCUUAUUAAAUCACCAAAGUUGCACAGUUCAAUUCUAGAGAAACUAAUUCUGAAAGGUUGCUCAAGUUUAGUUGAGGUGCAUCAAUCAAUUGGACAUUCGACGAGCCUCGUUUUCUUGAAUCUCGAGGGAUGUUGGAGUCUGAAGACUCUCCCUGAAAGCAUUGGUAAUGUAAAGUCUCUUGAAACUAUGAAUAUUUGUGGGUGUUCACAACUUGAGAAAUUGCCAGAAGGCAUGGGUGAUAUGAAAUUCUUAACUGAGCUGCUAGCCGAUGAGAUUAAAACUGAGCAAUUUCUCUCUUCAAUUGGGCAAUUAAAGUAUAUCAAAAGGUUAUCAUUGCGUGUUUCAAAUUUGAAAUGUUGGCUGCCAACAUCUUUCACUGAAUGGAGAUUAGUGAAAUAUCUUAAGCUUUACUGUGUUGAUUUUAGAGGUAUGUUCUCUCUAAAAGUAUUGGAUCUAAGAGGAAACAAAUUCUCUAGCCUGCCUUCUGGGAUCGGCUUCCUUCCCAAGCUAUCGUACUUGGUUGUUAAGACAUGUGAAUAUCUUGUAUCAAUCCUAGAUCUUCCCUCAAGUUUAUGCCUUUUGGAUGCAUCUUAUUGCAAAUCAUUGGAAAGAGUAAGAAUACCAAUCGAGGCAAAAAAAGAACUAUGUGUAAAUAUAUAUAUGAAAGUCUUUCGGUAGAAGAGAUUCAGGGCAUCGAAGGUUUAAAUAAUAGUUUCUGGUAUGUUAGUGUUACAUCACCAAAUAAAUUACAGAAGAGCAGUCAUUCACCAAAUAAAUCACAGAAGAGCGUUGUUGAGGUACUAUUUCUUUUAGUCUCUCUUGCACAAGAAGAAACACACACAAUUGGCACAUACAUUGAUUAAUGUCUAAAAUCGCAGCAUUCCUUGAAAUUAAUAUGUAUACAUACAAUUAUUAUUUUAAUUUAAAAAAUAAAUAUCAUCUUUAAUAAUAUUUUCUUAUUUUUCUUAUUUAAUCUAAAAAAUUAAAUAUUAUCUUUAAUAAUAUUUUUUAUAAAAUAUUUAAAGUCUUUGGUUUUCUUUUUUAUUUCUUGAUUUUAUGAUAAUAUAUUUAUACAGGCAAUGUGCAACCGUGGUCACGGGUAUCGUAUUAGCUUCAUUGUUGAUGAUCUACUUGAGAUGCCAGAUUGGAUGAGCUACAGGGCAGAAGGAUGCGCAUUGUCAUUCCAUAUACCUCCAGUCUUCCAUGGCUUAGUUCUUUUGUUUGAGAAGAGUACUCAUCUUUACACAGUCACUAACAUUAUUAUUAUUAUAAGAAAUAAAAGCAACGGAAGAAUAUUGUUUAAAGAUAAACGAGCACAGAUAGGAAUACAUAUAUUUAUGCAGGGAUGGUUAAGAUACAUAAGUAGAAGUGAAAUGGCAAUGGAAGAUUACUGUGGAGAUGACGAAUUGGAACUAUACAUAUAUUCACAGCAAUCAGAGUAUGCAACGGUCAUUCAUUCGAACCCGUACACGUUAAAGAAUGUGGGGUCCAUGUGAUCGCAGAGAAGUUAGAUUCAUUUGAAGAGUCGGCAGUGGGAAGAGAUACAGUGAUGCCUUCACCACCGCUGUAUCAUCUGCUUCCUCAUCCUCAUCGUGGUUCAAUUACAACGUCUACACCUAAGCAAUGGUGUGACUUUUUACUUGCGGAGCUGCAAAACCAUAACCUCAGUUUAUUGCUUCUUGGUAAGAACAAAUAUUUCCUUUAGUUAUUUUUAUUCUAUUCUAUUUAAUUUAUGAGAUUAAAUAUUAUCUUUAAUUAUUUCAUUAUUACUAUUUAAUAUAAAAAAUUAAAUAUCAUUUUUAAUAAUAAAAAAUUAAAUAUUUAAGGCUUUUUGGUAAGAAUACAUAUUUCCUUUAGUUAUUUCUAUUUUAUUCUAUUUAAUUUAAGAGAUUAAAUAUCAUCUUUAAU